Molecule: ribosomal RNA, 253 nt
Filed under: uncultured bacterium
Lineage: Bacteria
Description: partial 16S ribosomal RNA
Rfam family: Bacterial small subunit ribosomal RNA
Source: RNAcentral
UACAGAGGUCUCAAGCGUUGUUCGGAUUCAUUGGGCGUAAAGGGUGCGUAGGCGGCUUGUCGCGUCGGCUGUGAAAACCUGGGGCUCAACCCCGGGCCUGCAGCCGAUACGGGCAAGCUAGAAUUCGGUAGGGGAGACUGGAAUUCCUGGUGUAGCGGUGAAAUGCGCAGAUAUCAGGAGGAACACCGGUGGCGAAGGCGGGUCUCUGGGCCGAAAUUGACGCUGAGGAGCGAAAGCGUGGGGAGCAAACAGG